AGCAGCCGCGGUAAUUCCAGCUCCAAUAGCGUAUAUUAAAGUUGUUGCAGUUAAAAAGCUCGUAGUUGAAUUUCGGGGUUAGUAGGUUGGUCAUGCCUCUGGUAUGUACUGGUCUCACUGAUUCCUCCUUCCUGAUGAGCCGUAAUGCCAUUAAUUUGGUGUUGCGGGGAAUUUGGACUGUUACUUUGAAAAAUUAGAGUGUUUAAAGCAAGCUAACGCUUGAAUACAUUAGCAUGGAAUAAUGAAAUAGGACGUUCGAUCCUAUUUUGUUGGUUUCUAGGAUUGACGUAAUGAUUAAUAGGGAUAGUUGGGGCAUUAGUAUUCAAUUGUCAGAGGUGAAAUUCUUGGAUUUAUUGAAGACUAACUACUGCGAAAGCAUUUGCCAAGGAUGUUUUCAUUAUACAAGACGAAAGUUAGGGGAUCGAAGACGAUCAGAUACCGUCGUAGUCUUAACCAUAAACUAUAGCCGACUAGGGAUCGGAUGAUGUUAAUUUUAUG
RNAcentral lists this ribosomal RNA (498 nucleotides) under uncultured Glomus. Its description in RNAcentral is "SSU rRNA". It matches the Rfam family "Eukaryotic small subunit ribosomal RNA", at positions 569 to 1073 of the family's 1831-position model. The record is from RNAcentral. Lineage: Eukaryota; Fungi; Glomeromycota; Glomeromycetes; Glomerales; Glomeraceae.